AUUGAACGCUGGCGGCAGGCUUAACACAUGCAAGUCGAACGCCCCGCAAGGGGAGUGGCAGACGGGUGAGUAACACGUGGGAACGUACCCUUUGGUUCGGAAUAACUUGGGGAAACUCAAGCUAAUACCGGAUAAGCCCUUAUGGGGAAAGGUUUACUGCCGAAGGAUCGGCCCGCGUCUGAUUAGCUAGUUGGUGAGGGAAUGGCUCACCAAGGCGACGAUCAGUAGCUGGUCUGAGAGGAUGAUCAGCCACACUGGGACUGAGACACGGCCCAGACUCCUACGGGAGGCAUCAGUGGGGAAUAUUGGACAAUGGGGGCAACCCUGAUCCAGCCAUGCCGCGUGAGUGAUGAAGGCCUUAGGGUUGUAAAGCUCUUUUACCCGGGACGAUAAUGACUGUACCGGGAGAAUAAGCCCCGGCUAACUUCGUGCCAGCCGCCGCCGUAA
This 447-nucleotide ribosomal RNA is filed under the name uncultured bacterium. Its description in RNAcentral is "partial 16S ribosomal RNA". It matches the Rfam family "Bacterial small subunit ribosomal RNA", at positions 30 to 523 of the family's 1533-position model. The record is from RNAcentral.